UGGGGAUGUGGCUCAGUGGUAGAGCUCUUGCCUGACCUGCAAGAAGCCCUGGGUUCAAUCCCCAGCACACCAA
This 73-nucleotide transfer RNA is filed under the name Ictidomys tridecemlineatus (thirteen-lined ground squirrel). RNAcentral describes it as "tRNA-Val (GAC) (tRNA-Val-GAC-1-1)". It matches the Rfam family "tRNA". Rfam says of the family: Transfer RNA (tRNA) molecules are approximately 80 nucleotides in length. Their secondary structure includes four short double-helical elements and three loops (D, anti-codon, and T loops). Further hydrogen bonds mediate the characteristic L-shaped molecular structure. tRNAs have two regions of fundamental functional importance: the anti-codon, which is responsible for specific mRNA codon recognition, and the 3' end, to which the tRNAs corresponding amino acid is attached (by aminoacyl-tRNA synthetases). tRNAs cope with the degeneracy of the genetic code in two manners: having more than one tRNA (with a specific anti-codon) for a particular amino acid; and 'wobble' base-pairing, i.e. permitting non-standard base-pairing at the 3rd anti-codon position. Lineage: Eukaryota; Metazoa; Chordata; Mammalia; Rodentia; Sciuridae. The record is from RNAcentral.